Molecule: ribosomal RNA, 2236 nt
Filed under: Juglans nigra (black walnut)
Lineage: Eukaryota; Viridiplantae; Streptophyta; Magnoliopsida; Fagales; Juglandaceae
Description: bacterial LSU rRNA
Rfam family: Bacterial large subunit ribosomal RNA
Source: RNAcentral
UCAAGAUGCUAAGGGCCCACGGUGGAUGCCUUGGCACCCGAGCCGAUGAAGGACGUGGCUACCUGCGAUAAGCCAGGGGGAGCCGGUAGCGGGCGUGGAUCCCUGGAUGUCCGAAUGGGGGAACCCGGCCCGUGGGAACACGGGUCACCGCUCUUUGAGCGGGGGGAACCUGGGGAACUGAAACAUCUCAGUACCCAGAGGAGAGGAAAGCGAAAGCGACUCCCUGAGUAGCGGCGAGCGAAAGGGGAAGAGCCUAAACCGCCCGGCUUGUCCGGGCGGGGUCGUGGGGCCCUCGGAUACCGAAUCCCUAGCCUAGCCGAAGCCUCUGGGAAGGGGCGCCAGAGAAGGUGAAAGCCCUGUAGGCGAAAGGUGAGGGGAUAGGUGAGGGUACCCGAGUACCCUGUGGUUCGUGGAGCCAUGGGGGAAUCUGGGCGGACCACCGCCUAAGGCUAAGUACUCCGGGUGACCGAUAGUGAACCAGUACCGUGAGGGAAAGGUGAAAAGAACCCCGGGAGGGGAGUGAAAUAGAGCCUGAAACCGUGGGCUUACAAGCAGUCGCGGCCCGUUGAGGGUUGCGGCGUGCCUAUUGAAGCAUGAGCCGGCGACUCACGGUCGUGGGCGAGCUUAAGCCGUUGAGGCGGAGGCGUAGGGAAACCGAGUCCGAACAGGGCGUUUAGUCCGCGGCCGUGGACCCGAAACCGGGUGAGCUAGCCCUGGCCAGGGUGAAGCUGGGGUGAAACCCAGUGGAGGCCCGAACCGGUGGGGGAUGCAAACCCCUCGGAUGAGCUGGGGUUAGGAGUGAAAAGCUAACCGAACCCGGAGAUAGCUGGUUCUCCCCGAAAUGACUUUAGGGUCAGCCUCAGGUGCUGACUGGGGCCUGUAGAGCACUGAUAGGGCUAGGGGGCCUACCAGCCUACCAAACCCUGUCAAACUCCGAAGGGUCCCAGGUGGAGCCUGGGAGUGAGGGCACGAGCGAUAACGUCCGUGUCCAAGCGCGGGAACAACCGAGACCGCCAGCUAAGGUCCCGAAGUCUGGGCUAAGUGGGAAAGGAUGUGGCGUCGCGAAGACAGCCAGGAGGUUGGCUUAGAAGCAGCCAUCCUUUAAAGAGUGCGUAAUAGCUCACUGGUCGAGUGACGCUGCGCCGAAAAUGAUCGGGGCUUAAGCCCAGCGCCGAAGCUGCGGGUCUAGGGUGUAUGCCCUAGGCGGUAGGGGAGCGUUCCCGAUGCCGAUGAAGGUCGUCCGCGAGGGCGGCUGGAGGUAAGGGAAGUGCGAAUGCCGGCAUGAGUAACGAUAAACAGGGUGAGAAUCCCUGUCGCCGUAAGCCCAAGGGUUCCUACGCAAUGGUCGUCAGCGUAGGGUUAGGCGGGACCUAAGGUGAGGCCGAGAGGCGUAGCCGAAGGGCAGCCGGUUAAUAUUCCGGCCCUUCCCGUGGGUGCGAUGGGGGGACGCUCUAGGCUAGGGGGACCGGAGCCAUGGACGAGCCCGGCCAGAAGCGCAGGGUGGGAGGUAGGCAAAUCCGCCUCCCAAGAGCUCUGCGUGGUGGGGAAGCCCGUGAGGGUGACAACCCUCCGAAGCCAGGGAGCCGAGAAAAGCCUCUAAGCACAACCCAUGGGAACCCGUACCGCAAACCGACACAGGUAGGCGAGGAGAGAAUCCUAAGGUGCGCGGGAGAACUCUUGCUAAGGAACUCGGCAAAAUAGCCCCGUAACUUCGGGAGAAGGGGUGCUCGCCUUUGGCGAGCCGCAGUGAACAGGCUCUGGCGACUGUUUACCAAAAACACAGCUCUCUGCGAACUCGUAAGAGGAGGUAUAGGGAGCGACGCUUGCCCGGUGCCGGAAGGUCAAGGGGAGGGGUGCAAGCCCUGAACCGAAGCCCCGGUGAACGGCGGCCGUAACUAUAACGGUCCUAAGGUAGCGAAAUUCCUUGUCGGGUAAGUUCCGACCUGCACGAAAAGCGUAACGACCGGAGCGCUGUCUCGGCGAGGGACCCGGUGAAAUUGAAUUGGCCGUGAAGAUGCGGCCUACCCGUGGCAGGACGAAAAGACCCCGUGGAGCUUUACUGCAGCCUGGUGUUGGCUCUUGGUCGCGUCUGCGUAGGAUAGGUGGGAGCCUGUGAAGCCGCCCUUUCGGGGGCGGUGGAGGCGCCGGUGAAAUACCACCCUGAUGCGGCUGGGGGCCUAACCCAAGGGAUUGGGGACAGCGCUUGGCGGGCAGUUUGACUGGGGCGGUCGCCUCC